This 253-nucleotide ribosomal RNA is filed under the name uncultured bacterium. RNAcentral describes it as "partial 16S ribosomal RNA". It matches the Rfam family "Bacterial small subunit ribosomal RNA", at positions 524 to 776 of the family's 1533-position model. The record is from RNAcentral.
UACGUAGGAUGCGAGCGUUGUCCGGAAUUAUUGGGCGUAAAGAGCACGUAGGUGGUUUCUUAAGUCAGGGGUGAAAUCCUGGAGCUCAACUCCAGAACUGCCUUUGAUACUGGCGAUCUUGAGUCCGGGAGAGGUGAGUGGAACUGCGAGUGUAGAGGUGAAAUUCGUAGAUAUUCGCAAGAACACCAGUGGCGAAGGCGGCUCACUGGCCCGGUACUGACGCUGAGGUGCGAAAGCGUGGGGAGCAAACAGG